GACAUCCGCGGACCGUCGCGGCUCGUGCCUUUGCGCUCACACACGCAUAAGGAGACACACACCUGACCCACCCUCCUCUCUCCCCCUGCAUCUACCGGCACCAAAGACAUCUGCCUGGCAGUGCACUUCAUUUCGGCUUCACGACGGCACAGACGCGCCCGCAGCGCACAUCAAAGAACGGGAGCGACUCCGUCUUGUGUGUGUGUGCGCGCGCUCUGGGUUUCUCACUUCUGCCACCUCCGCACACACAGCGGCGGCACACCGGCCGCUUCACAGCUCUCUCCCGUCUUUACGUCGCAUCUCGCUCUCGCGGUCUCUCCGCGGCGGUGCCCUCCUGCCCUUCUCUUCGCCGAGGCGCCAUCUCUCGUUGCCCCGCCUCUUCCGUUGAAUAACGCAUCCCCGCCCUGUCAUGCUGCGCAGGCGUCUCGUUCAGGCCUCCACGGCGCUUCGGUGUGGCAGCACCGCUGCCCUGGCGGCUCCCUUCGGCCCUUUCGGGUGCGGCGGCCCCCGCAAAACUGCCGUGGCUGCUGUGGCGUGCUCGCCGUUGGCAUCGAGCACGGCGGCACACCCUACGUUACGGACGAGCUGCCGAUGGCAGUCGACAGGCGUCACGCCGUGGAAUAGCAGCGGCAACAGCGGUGGAGGCGGCAACGGCGGCCAGCAGCAGGGACGCACGUGGGUGAACCCGAACGCUGUGCCGCCGGGCGAGUUCCUAAAGAAGUACGCGCGCGACUUGACCGAGGAGGCGCGCAUGGGUCGCCUGGACCCCAUCGUGGGGCGCGAGGAGGUCAUUCGACGCACCAUCCAGGUCGUCUCGCGGCGUACCAAGAACAACCCGGUGCUGAUUGGUGAGCCCGGCGUCGGUAAGACGGCCAUCGUCGAAGGUCUGGCGCAGCGGAUCGUGAAGGGCGAGGUGCCAGAGAGCAUCAAGGACCGCCAGGUGUACGCGCUAGACAUGGGCACCCUCGUCGCCGGCGCCAAGUUCCGCGGCGAGUUCGAGGAGCGCCUCAAGGGGGUGCUCAAGGACACCAUACAGUCGCACGGCAAGGUUAUCUUGUUUAUCGACGAGCUGCAUACGUUGGUCGGCGCCGGCUCCUCCGGCGAUGGGUCGAUGGACGCGGCGAACCUGCUGAAGCCGUCACUGGCGCGCGGCGAGCUGCACUGCAUCGGCGCCACCACCUUGGACGAGUACCGCCAGCACAUCGAGAAGGACGCCGCGCUGGCGCGCCGCUUCCAGUCGGUGCUGGUUACGGAGCCCACUGUGGAAGAGACCAUCUCCAUUCUGCGCGGCAUCAAGGAGAAGUACGAGGCCCACCACGGCUGCCUCAUCAAGGACGAGGCCCUCGUCUACGCCGCUGUCAACUCCCACCGCUACCUCUCGGAGCGUCGCCUGCCAGACAAGGCCAUCGACCUUAUCGACGAGGCCGCUAGCCGCCUGCGCCUGCAGCAGGAGUCGAAACCAGAGGCGCUCGACCUCAUCGAGCGCGAGCUGAUCCGCCUGAAGAUCGAGGCGGAGGCGGUGAAGAAGGAUAAGGACGAGGUGGGCAAGGAGAAGCUGGAGAACUUGUACGAGCAAAUUUCGCAGAAGCAGAAGGAGUACGACGCACUCGAGGAGCGGUGGAAGAAGGAGAAGAACCUGUUCCAGACGAUCAAGCAGCGCACCGAGGAACUCGACGUGCUGCGGCACCACCUCGAGCAGGCGAUGAACAGCGGCGACUUUGCCAAGGCGGGCGAGAUACAGCACAGCCAAAUCCCCAACCUGCUGAAGCAGAUCGAGAAGGACAAGCACCUCGCCAGCUCCAAGAACUUCAUGGUGCACGACAGCGUCACCUCAAAGGACAUUGCUGAGGUGAUUGCCCGCGCGACCGGCAUCCCCGUGGCGCAGCUCAUGACGAGUGAGCGGGAGAAGCUCAUUCACAUGGAUGCAGAGCUAAAGAAGACGAUCAUGGGCCAGGAUGCGGCUAUCGAGUCCAUUACGAAUGUGGUGCGCAUCUCUCGCGCCGGCCUGCACUCGCACAAGCGCCCGCUAGGCUCCUUUCUGUUCCUCGGCCCCACCGGCGUCGGUAAGACGGAGGUGUGCAAGAGCCUCGCCAAGUUCCUCUUCGACGACGAGUCGUUCAUCUGCCGCAUCGACAUGAGCGAGUACAUGGAACGGCACUCCGUGCACCGGCUGAUCGGCGCCCCACCAGGGUACGUCGGCUAUGAGGAAGGCGGCGAGCUGACGGAAUCGGUGCGGCGUCGCCCUUACCAAAUCGUCCUCUUCGACGAGUUCGAGAAGGCCCACCCGAGCGUGUCGAACAUUCUUCUCCAAGUGCUGGACGAGGGGCACCUGACCGACAGCCACGGCCGCCGCGUCGACUUCAAGAACACCAUCAUCAUCCUGACCUCCAACAUCGGCGCUGACGUCAUCGCCCGCCUGCCGGAGGGGGAGCCGAGCAUCAGUGCGAUGCCGGCUGUCAUGGAGCAGGUGCGCCAGCGCCUGGCGCCCGAGUUCAUUAACCGUCUCGACGACAUCAUCAUGUUUAACCGCCUCAGCCGUGAGGACAUCCGCAGCAUCGUGGAGAUUUUGUUCGCACAGGUGCAGAAAAUGCUGACGGAGCAUAACAUCACAUUGGAAGAGUCCACGGAGGUGUACGACUGGCUCAGCGUCAACGGCUACAGCGCUGUGUAUGGUGCGCGGCCCCUGAAGCGUCUCGUGCAGAGCGAACUGCUCAACCAACUGGCGCUGAUGUUGCUUGAUGGCCGCAUCCGUGAGGGUGAGCUUGUGAGGCUGUCUGUGCAGGACGGUCAUGUCGUGGUGGUUGCCAAUCACGCGCUCUCUCCUGAGAAGGGGCCGACUGACGCGCGACUGCUGGAUCAGUGAGGCCCCACCCGCACAUGGGAAUGCGAAGGGACGCUGCCGCCGUCACCACCGCCCCUUCGCCCCCCCGCCGCGAAUGCCCGCGCCAGCGCAGCCGUAGAACGGAGCAGCGGUUACUCCGUCCCGAUUUUCUCUUUGAGCUUUUAUUAUAGUGGCACGCGGAUAAGCGUCUGUCGGUGUAUGGGUGGGUGGUGGGGAGGCGAGAGCGGUGGGCAGUGACACCUCUUGCUCAGGGUGGACACGAUAUGACGUCCUCUUCGCUCUUCGCCUCUCCCACCACCACCACCGCGAGGCAGGCCCCCCCCCCUGCCCUUCUUGCGGUGCGCCGCUGGUACACCGCGCAGAUGUGUGCGUGUGCGUGUGUGUGUGUCGUCGUCCUUUGUUGUGGUGUAUUUCGCGUUUUUUUAGCGUUGGCCUUCGUCUGCCUCGGCGCGCCGGCGCUCCUCCUCCGUUUAUCGCUGUUUUCUCCGGCAUUAUUAUAAAGCCGACCAUCUCGAAAACACACACGCGCGUGCGCCUUCUUCUUUCACAUGAUCCACGCUUUCUCCAACC
This 3412-nucleotide unclassified non-coding RNA is filed under the name Leishmania donovani. Its description in RNAcentral is "gene:LdHU3.02.0850(CDS-product:Heat_shock_protein _100_kDa)". Lineage: Eukaryota; Euglenozoa; Kinetoplastea; Trypanosomatida; Trypanosomatidae. The record is from RNAcentral.